Haliotis rubra (blacklip abalone) is the source of this 634-nucleotide long non-coding RNA. RefSeq lists it as uncharacterized. The transcript is spliced from 3 exons. The record is from RefSeq and is a predicted model, not a curated record. NCBI's taxonomy places the organism in Eukaryota, Metazoa, Mollusca, Gastropoda, Lepetellida, Haliotidae.
UACAAUCUAUCUUCAGCCCACUCAUAUCUUCAACCCUGAGCUGUCUACAGACUUUUCUUCCUUCAGUUCGCUCAAAUGCCAAAUCAUUGAUACUCACCUACAACGUCACUAAGAAUUAAAAGACCUAAGAUGAGCAACAACAGCCGCAGGGAUUCACAGAAGAAUGAUCAGGACAGAAAAACCGUAAGCAUUUUUCACUGCCGAGACAUUUUACUGCACGGUACUACACACUGAAUCAAGGCUAGACUGAAUGUAGGCAUCUACUAAACUAGACACAAUACACAACGUGAAGAGGUUAUCCAUUAGACGUGGCGUUGUACAUACACUACCGUAUGUAGUGGAACAUGAAAUGCCACUCAUAGUAGUAGUGGAACCAGUAACAAUUCUUUGAACAGCAUAUUUCGAUUUACACUAUGACCCUAAUCAACAAUCUACAAGGUGAUACGUCAGACAGGUGCUGUCCAGUAGAGUCUGAUACACAAUAUACAAGGUGAUACAUCAGACAGGUGUUGUCCAGUAGAGUCUGAUACACAAUCUAACAGGUGAUACAUCCGACAGGUGUUGUCCAGUAGAGUCUGAUACACAAUCUACAAGGUGAUACAUCAGACAGCUGUUGUCCAGUAGAGUCUGAUAC